This 101-nucleotide microRNA precursor is filed under the name Microtus ochrogaster (prairie vole). RNAcentral's name for it is "miRNA (ENSMOCG00000008707.1)". Lineage: Eukaryota; Metazoa; Chordata; Mammalia; Rodentia; Cricetidae. The record is from RNAcentral.
GAAAUGCCUACAUGAGAUCCAGCUGUAAGGCAUUUUCCCAAUUAGUGAUCAGUGGGGAUCCAGUCGAUGGUGGGUGGUACCAUCCUGGGCUGGUGGUCCUG